UCCUACGGGAGGCAGCAGUGGGGAAUAUUGCACAAUGGGCGCAAGCCUGAUGCAGCAACGCCGCGUGAGGGACGAAGGCCUUCGGGUUGUAAACCUCUUUUAGUAGGGAAGAAGCGACUGGGUUUUCCUGGGAGUGACGGUGCCUGCAGAAAAAGCACCGGCUAACUACGUGCCAGCAGCCGCGGUAAUACGUAGGGUGCAAGCGUUGUCCGGAAUUAUUGGGCGUAAAGAGCUCGUAGGCGGUUUGUCGCGUCUGCUGUGAAAACCCGAGGCUCAACCUCGGGCCUGCAGUGGGUACGGGCAGACUAGAGUGCGGUAGGGGAGAUUGGAAUUCCUGGUGUAGCGGUGGAAUGCGCAGAUAUCAGGAGGAACACCAAUGGCGAAGGCAGAUCUCUGGGCCGUAACUGACGCUGAGGAGCGAAAGCAUGGGGAGCGAACAGGAUUAGAUACCCUGGUAGUCCAUGCCGUAAACGUAGGGAACUAGAUGUGGGGACCAUUCCACGGUCUCCGUGUCGCGGCUAACGCAUUAAGUUCCCCGCCUGGGGAGUACGGCCGCAAGGCUAAAACCCAAAGGAAUUGACGGGGGCCCGCACAAGCGGCGGAGCAUGCGGAUUAAUUCGAUGCAACGCGAAGAACCUUACCAAGGCUUGACAUAUACCGGAAACGGCUGGAAACAGUCGCCCCGCAAGGUCGGUAUACAGGUGGUGCAUGGUUGUCGUCAGCUCGUGUCGUGAGAUGUUGGGUUAAGUCCCGCAACGAGCGCAACCCUCGUCCUAUGUUGCCAGCACGUAAUGGUGGGAACUCAUGGGAUACUGCCGGGGUCAACUCGGAGGAAGGUGGGGAUGACGUCAAAUCAUCAUGCCCCUUAUGUCUUGGGCUUCACGCAUGCUACAAUGGCCGGUACAAAGGGCUGCGAUACCGCAAGGUGGAGCGAAUCCCAAAAAGCCGGUCUCAGUUCGGAUUGAGGUCUGCAACUCGACCUCAUGAAGUCGGAGUCGCUAGUAAUCGCAGAUCAGCAACGCUGCGGUGAAUACGUUCCCGGGCCUUGUACACAC
Molecule: ribosomal RNA, 1055 nt
Filed under: uncultured Cryobacterium sp.
Lineage: Bacteria; Bacillati; Actinomycetota; Actinomycetes; Micrococcales; Microbacteriaceae
Description: bacterial SSU rRNA
Rfam family: Bacterial small subunit ribosomal RNA
Source: RNAcentral